CUCUUAUCAAGAGUGGUGGAGGGAAUAGGCCCUGCGAAGCCCAGCAACCUGAAAGCAAACCUUGUUUGCUUCCGAUGGUGCUAAAUCCUACAGAUCAUCUUGGAUCUGGAAGAUAAGAG
Molecule: regulatory RNA element, 119 nt
Organism: Oceanobacillus picturae
Lineage: Bacteria; Bacillati; Bacillota; Bacilli; Caryophanales; Bacillaceae
Rfam family: SAM riboswitch aptamer (S box leader)
About the family: The SAM riboswitch is found upstream of a number of genes which code for proteins involved in methionine or cysteine biosynthesis in Gram-positive bacteria. The SAM riboswitch acts at the level of transcription termination control.
Source: Rfam